AUUGAACGCUGGCGGCAUGCCUUACACAUGCAAGUCGAACGGCAGCACGGGAGUAAUCCUGGUGGCGAGUGGCGAACGGGUGAGUAAUGUAUCGGAACGUGCCCAGUCGUGGGGGAUAACGUAGCGAACGCUACGCUAAUACCGCAUACGAUCUAUGGAUGAAAGCGGGGGAUCGCAAGAACUCGCGCGAAUGGAGCGGCCGAUAUCAGAUGAGGUAGUUGGUGGGGUAAAGGCUCACCAAGACGACGACCUGUAGCUGGUCUGAGAGGACGACCAGCCACACUGGGACUGAGACACGGCCCAGACUCCUACGGGAGGCAGCAGUGGGGAAUUUUGGACAAUGGGCGCAAGCCUGAUCCAGCAAUGCCGCGUGCAGGAUGAAGGCCUUCGGGUUGUAAACUGCUUUUGUACGGAACGAAACGGCGAGCUCUAAUACAGUUUGCUAAUGACGGUACCUGAAGAAUAAGCACCGGCUAACUACGUGCCAGCCGCCGCCGUAA
This 500-nucleotide ribosomal RNA is filed under the name uncultured bacterium. RNAcentral's name for it is "partial 16S ribosomal RNA". It matches the Rfam family "Bacterial small subunit ribosomal RNA", at positions 30 to 523 of the family's 1533-position model. The record is from RNAcentral.